This 301-nucleotide ribosomal RNA is filed under the name uncultured bacterium. RNAcentral describes it as "partial 16S ribosomal RNA". It matches the Rfam family "Bacterial small subunit ribosomal RNA", at positions 509 to 808 of the family's 1533-position model. The record is from RNAcentral.
CAGUCGCCGCGGGAAUACGUAGGUCCCGAGCGUUGUCCGGAUUUAUUGGGCGUAAAGCGAGCGCAGGCGGUUAGAUAAGUCUGAAGUUAAAGGCUGUGGCUUAACCAUAGUACGCUUUGGAAACUGUUUAACUUGAGUGCAAGAGGGGAGAGUGGAAUUCCAUGUGUAGCGGUGAAAUGCGUAGAUAUAUGGAGGAACACCGGUGGCGAAAGCGGUUCUCUGGUCUGUAACUGACGCUGAGGCUCGAAAGCGUGGGGAGCAAACAGGAUUAGAUACCCCAGUAGUUCCUGUCUCUUAUACA